UACGGAGGGUGCAAGCGUUAUCCGGAUUUACUGGGUUUAAAGGGUGCGUAGGUGGGUUGGGUAGUCAGUGGUGAAAUACUUUCGCUUAACGAAGGAACUGCCAUUGAUACUCCCAAUCUUGAAUACAGUGGAGGUGGGCGGAAUGCGUCAUGUAGUGGUGAAAUACUUAGAUAUGACGCAGAACACCGAUUGCGAAGGCAGCUCACUAAGCCAUAACUGACGCUGAUGCACGAAAGCGUGGGGAGCAAACAGG
RNAcentral lists this ribosomal RNA (253 nucleotides) under uncultured bacterium. Its description in RNAcentral is "partial 16S ribosomal RNA". It matches the Rfam family "Bacterial small subunit ribosomal RNA", at positions 524 to 776 of the family's 1533-position model. The record is from RNAcentral.